RNAcentral lists this ribosomal RNA (253 nucleotides) under uncultured bacterium. RNAcentral describes it as "partial 16S ribosomal RNA". It matches the Rfam family "Bacterial small subunit ribosomal RNA", at positions 524 to 776 of the family's 1533-position model. The record is from RNAcentral.
UACGUAGGGUCCGAGCGUUGUCCGGAGUUACUGGGCGUAAAGCGCGCGCAGGCGGCGGUGCUGGCCCGGCGUGAAAGCCCCCGGCUCAACCCCGGGCUUGCGGUCGAUACGGGCAGGCUCGAGUUCGGUAGGGGAGACUGGAAUUCCUGGUGUAGCGGUGAAAUGCGCAGAUAUCGGGAAGAACACCCGUGGCGAAGGCGGUUCUCUGGGACGGUACUGACGCUGAGACGCGAAAGCUAGGGGAGCGAACAGG